Molecule: long non-coding RNA, 2955 nt
Filed under: Mus musculus (house mouse)
Lineage: Eukaryota; Metazoa; Chordata; Mammalia; Rodentia; Muridae
Description: predicted gene, 32817, transcript variant 36 (Gm32817)
Source: RNAcentral
AGUCCCGGCUAGGGACACAGCUCUUAGACUUUGAGCUAGACAACCAGGAGGACAGGAGGACCUAGUAUCCUGCCUCCAUCAGCCCAUCAUUUAUGCAAAUGCUACUUAGUUGCCGUCUAGAUGCAGGAUGCUGUCUGCCCUGUUAAAUGCUGUGUGAACCCAGAUGGAAGCUGAGCAGACAUCACACUCGUGAGCAGCUCCCCUUCCUGUGAGCAUCUCCCCUUCCUGUUUCAGGCUGGCCUUGAACUUACAGGGAUUCACCUGCCUCUGCCUCCCAGAUGCUGAGAUUAAAGGCAUGUGCCAUCACCACCUGAACAACAGCAGCUUUCUAAGGAACCAGUAAGGCACUACAGACUUUUCAUAUAACAUCACCUUCAUUCUCUCACAACUAAUUCUACAAAACAGAUGUUAUACGACCUCGUUCGCUGAAGUCAAAGAUGCAGAGGGGCCAAGGUGUGGGCUCCGGACCUCACACCAGUGUGGCAGAUUCAACAAGCCCAGAAUAAGCCUCUUCCUUUGCUCACAAUAAGAUUUAUUAUAGAAGCAACAACUUCUGCAUACCAGAGGUGAGAGAUGCAGCAAUCCUCUCCGUGCUCAUGAAGCUUAAAAUUUGGGGGAGAAAGUAGAGAAAAAUUAAGCCAACUGCCUCUUCAUUCCUCAGUCACACUCCUCCUCUGACCCUGCUCCAGGAGGCUCAUCUUGUCAGACUUCACACUGAAUGAGCGCUGAGGAUGCUGUAGAGUAUGAGCUGUGUGCAGGUUUCAAAAGCAAUUUGUGCCCCUGAAACAAGCCAACCAGCAGAGAAGGAACAAAAGAAACAUGGUGUCUUCUACCUCCAGCCUUGAAGCUUCCAGACCUCCCUACACGAACCCCCCCCCCACACCCACUCCCCGAAAUGAUGUCCCAGUGAAGAGCCAGGCUCUUAUCCUUCCAUCCAUGCCUCUCAGGCGUCUGCUUCAUUUAGCAUGUAUGUGCAUUUUACCAGGUUAAUGCAACACAGACUAUUUCCUAGUAGCUGUGAAGCCCAGUGUAGCCUCUGCUGCCGGACACAUGGUUUGUCUCCAGUCUUUCCCUUCCCAGCAAAGCAGCCUUGACUCAUCUCCUUUCUCUAUGACAGAGCCCUUUAGAAUGUACUCACUGGGCCAACGAUGCAGUUUCAAUUUGGGUUUUUAAUGGAAGUGGGUGGCUAGGUAAGUGGGUUGAAUGACUGACUGAUUCUGAAUAGCUCUGAAUUUAUUGAGCUGCUUCCAGGAAGGUCCAGGUGACCUGGGUAGCAGAAAGGACACCCAUUCCUGUUUGAUGGUGUUUUUUUUCUAUCUAUCAUCCUUCCUGUCUUUCCUUCUUUAUUUCUUUCUGGGUGAGACAGGGUCUUAUAAUACAGUUUCAGCCAGCCUGGAACUCAUUAUGUAAACCAGGCUGGUCUCCAGCUCAUGGAGAUGAGCCUGCCUUUGCUUCCCAUGUACUGAAAUUAAAGCCCAGCUUGUUUUUUUCUCUUUACCACACUGGGGAUUCAACCCAAGGCUAGUAAGCACCCUGGCACUGAGUAUAUUCUGGACCUCUUCUUAUUUUAAUGUUGAUGUAGGGUCCUGCUAAGUUUCCCAGACUGACCUUCAACUCACUAUGCAAGUCCAGGCAGGCCUUGAACUCACGAUCCUCCUGGUUCAGCUUCCUGAGCUGAUGAGUGGCAGGCACCAUUAGUCUCAUUCGGAAGGAUGUGCUUCAUCCUUGGUGAAAGCGCUCAUCUCUUGUCUUGGCUGGCUAGAAUUUCCAGGGUGAAGAAAGGAGGAUUAGAAAAGUUCAAGGUCACCCUCCCCUACAUAGAGAGUUCAAGGCCAGGCUGGGCCACAUGAGAAAAACCAAAAGAACAGAUGGUGUUAGCAGGAGGUAGGGAAGGAGUAGGGAGGUCCAGCCCUGGGUGGGGCAGAGCCCCUGCUAAAGACAAGGGACAUUCCUUAGUGUCAACUUUCCCUUAGGAUGGAGAGGAGGGGUUGCUAGCUCGUCACACCCCACAGCCCUGGAGGACAGGAGCUUACUGUUGAGUUAGUGGGGCAGAGUCGGGGAGAGGCUGUCAUUUCGGCAGCCCUGGUACAUGGAGCCACUAGCAGGCUUCUUCGUCUCAUGUCUUCAUCCGCACCACCUCCUAGCAGCCUGCCCUCCCCAACUUGUCCACUUAAAGCCUGGGCCAGUGAGAUGACUCUGCAGAUAAAGGUAUUGUCACCCAGCCUGAGGACCUGAGUUCAAUUUCUGGGUUCCAUAUGAUGGAAGGAGAGAACUGAGUCCCUUAACUUGAUCUCUAACCUGCACAUGUGGAUUGUGAAUGGGCUUAUGUGCCCACACACCCUCUCUCUCACACAAUAAACAUAAGUAAUAAAUGUAUACAUGCAUAUACACAUACAUAAUACACACAUACAUACAUGCUUGAAUGCAUACAUACGUUCGUAUGUAUGUCCUUGCCACUCUCUUGGAACCUGACUCCUACAGAAUGUAACCUUGAUUUGUGCUCCAGGCUCACUUGACACCUGGCUUCUGUGGCUUGUUCGAGUCCUCUGUCUCCCAGACAAUGAGCUAGGAUUCUGGUCAUUCAGGUUCAGCCUGGGUGCAGAGAGUUUUGAGUGGGCCUGUCCACUGGAGACCACUCCUCUCGUCACCCAUGAAGCAUCUAAAGUUAAGUAUGAUGGUGCAGACCUGGAAUCCCAGAAUUCAGGAGGUGGGGGCAGGGAUUUCUAAACUCAGAAGUCAGCCUGAGCUAUCUAGAGAGAUGCUGUUUCAAAAAUUUAAAACAGCCGGGUGUGGUGGCACACGCCUUUAAUCCCAGCACUCGGGAGGCAGAGGUAGGCGGAUUUCUGAGUUCGAGGCCAGCCUGGUCUACAAAGUGAGUUCCAGGACAGCCAGGGAUAUACAGAGAAACCCUGUCUCGAAAAACCAAAAAUAAAAAAUAAAUAAAACAAAACCGAA